UACGGGGGGGGCAAGCGUUGUUCGGAAUUACUGGGCGUAAAGGGCUCGUAGGCGGCCAACUAAGUCGGAUGUGAAAUCCCCAGGCUCAACUUGGGAACUGCAUCCGAUACUGGAUGGCUUGAAUUCGGGAGAGGGAUGCAGAAUUCCAGGUGUAGCGGCGAAAUGCGUAGAUAUCUGGAGGAAUACCGGUGGCGAAGGCGGCAUCCUGGACCGACAUUGACGCUGAGGAGCGAAAGCUAGGGGAGCAAACGGG
Molecule: ribosomal RNA, 253 nt
Filed under: uncultured bacterium
Lineage: Bacteria
Description: partial 16S ribosomal RNA
Rfam family: Bacterial small subunit ribosomal RNA
Source: RNAcentral